GGUUUCUCAAGGGACGCAAGUUAGCUUCGGUACAGAAGAGGAGCUUCUCAAGGACCCUAUGACUUCUCAAGAUACAUCAGCAGUGCCAAAUACAGAAGUAAAUACAUCUGUGCAGUUAAGGUUUGGGCUAGGUGACUCAGAAUUGAUUAAUAGCCAUGGGGCUCCCAUCCCACGAUAUGGAAGUAAUCAGUGGCUAUUACAGGUUGUACAACAAGGACAAUAUCCGAAGUUCAAUGGGAUGCAGUAGUGCAUUGAGGUUGAUAUAUGAUGGAGACUGCUAGACUGUGUAUCAAAGAAA
Non-coding RNA from Arachis ipaensis, 298 nucleotides. The record is from RefSeq and is a predicted model, not a curated record. Lineage: Eukaryota; Viridiplantae; Streptophyta; Magnoliopsida; Fabales; Fabaceae.